CACUACAGCCAUGCUACCCUGAACGUGCCUGAUCUCGGAAGCUAAGCAUGGUCGAGCCUGGUUAGUACUUGGAUGGGAGACCACCUAGGAAUACCAGGAGCUGUAGGCA
This 109-nucleotide ribosomal RNA is filed under the name Pteropus alecto (black flying fox). RNAcentral also lists the same sequence under 1 other name. The record is from RNAcentral. Lineage: Eukaryota; Metazoa; Chordata; Mammalia; Chiroptera; Pteropodidae.